AUACGUAGGGGGCGAGCGUUGACCGGAAUGAUUGGGCGUAAAGGGCGCGUAGGCGGCCCGUUAAGUCUGGAGUGAAAGUCCUGUUUUUAAGAUGGGAACUGCUUUGGAUACUGUCGGGCUUGAGUGCUGGAGAGGUAAGUGGAAUUCCCAGUGUAGCGGUGAAAUGCGUAGAGAUUGGGAGGAAUACCAGUGGCGAAGGCGACUUACUGGACUAUAACUGACGCUGAGGCGCGAAAGUGUGGGGAGCAAACAGGAUUAGAUUCCCUGGUAGUCCACACUGUUAACGAUGAACGCUAGGUGUAGUGGGUAUCGGCCCCUUCUGUGCCGCAGUCAACGCAAUAAGCAUUCCGCCUGGGGAGUACGGCCGCAAGGUUGAAACUCAAAGGAAUUGACGGGG
RNAcentral lists this ribosomal RNA (397 nucleotides) under uncultured bacterium. RNAcentral describes it as "partial 16S ribosomal RNA". It matches the Rfam family "Bacterial small subunit ribosomal RNA", at positions 523 to 918 of the family's 1533-position model. The record is from RNAcentral.